GAGAAGAAUUAUGAAAUACAGAAACUGCUAAUGUCUGACUCUAGAGUUAAAGUCUCUAGUCUUCUCAC
Molecule: transfer RNA, 68 nt
Filed under: Ichthyosaura alpestris alpestris
Lineage: Eukaryota; Metazoa; Chordata; Amphibia; Caudata; Salamandridae
Description: tRNA-Ser
Source: RNAcentral